GCCGAUGUAGCUCAGCUGGCUAGAGCAGCUGAUUUGUAAUCAGCAGGUCGUGGGUUCGAGUCCCUCCGUCGGCU
This 74-nucleotide transfer RNA is filed under the name Dokdonia donghaensis. RNAcentral describes it as "tRNA-Thr". It matches the Rfam family "tRNA". From Rfam's summary of the family: Transfer RNA (tRNA) molecules are approximately 80 nucleotides in length. RNAcentral also lists the same sequence under 2 other names. The record is from RNAcentral. Lineage: Bacteria; Pseudomonadati; Bacteroidota; Flavobacteriia; Flavobacteriales; Flavobacteriaceae.